Molecule: non-coding RNA, 45 nt
Organism: Schistosoma margrebowiei
Lineage: Eukaryota; Metazoa; Platyhelminthes; Trematoda; Strigeidida; Schistosomatidae
Source: Rfam
AUCCAGCUGACGAGUCCCGAAUGCGAUGAAACGCGUGUCCUGCAU